UCUUUUCUUUGCUGGCGACCGGCGCACGGGUGAGUAACACGUAUCCAACCUGCCCUUUACUCGGGGAUAGCCUUUCGAAAGAAAGAUUAAUACCCGAUAGCAUAAUGAUUCCGCAUGGUUUCAUUAUUAAAGGAUUCCGGUAAAGGAUGGGGAUGCGUUCCAUUAGGUUGUUGGUGGGGUAACGGCCCACCAAGCCUUCGAUGGAUAGGGGUUCUGAGAGGAAGGUCCCCCACAUUGGAACUGAGACACGGUCCAA
Molecule: ribosomal RNA, 256 nt
Filed under: uncultured bacterium
Lineage: Bacteria
Description: partial 16S ribosomal RNA
Rfam family: Bacterial small subunit ribosomal RNA
Source: RNAcentral